UCAACUACGUCACUGAAAUGAGGCAUGCUGGGACCGGUCGCGAUUUUGUGGUACCAUCGCCGCUCUGCUGCGUACUUUCUCAAGGCUUACGCUGUGAUUUUUACCCGCUGAUUCUUUCCUCAUGGGAUUUUGUGACAUUAUCGGGUGCAGUAAUCGCACUCAGAUGAAGAAGCUGAAGGCUAGGAGCAAUCAGCCAGACCCUCACUUCUUCAAAAGACCGAACUAAACCAGUCAAAAGACACGGAAGUUCUCAAAAAGGCGUUGCCGUGAAUGGUUGUCACGCAUAAACAACAAGACCUGACCAUCACCAACAUAAUGGUGCCCCAUUCUGUAUCUUUGAACACUCUGUGCGGGUUGCUGUAAAUGCUCCUUUGUCCCAUGUGAAGAAUGAUCUUCCACAGUUUGCAUCUUGAGUAGUUGCAGGAUCUCUUGCACGUUUGUACUGACUGUUCGUCCGCUCCCCUCACACACAUCCUAUCAUCUACACACUUCAAAACUAAAUGGACAAUGUAACUGGACAAUUUGCAGGAUCUCCAUCACAACUCUUCGACGAAUGCAACCCUGAUUGGGCACCUUGCCUGCAUUUAGGCUAUGACAGCAGAGGUGCUACCACUAAUGGAAGCCGCAACAAAAGGCUCAAGCAGCUUCAGUCAGCUGAUGCCAAACUGGAUUGACAUGUGCUGACAUCACAAAGAUGGAAGGAGAGCUUGUGCACCAUAGUGCAGGAACUUGCCAGCUUAGAGACACAGUAAAGGCAACGAAAUUCACAGAGGAGGCACUGCAAAGUGACGCAACAAAGUGUCCUUGUACACUGAACUACCAUCAUUUCUGGUCCUCAUGCAAGUGUCCAAUAUUUUGGAACAGCAUAUGCAGCAAACCUGUGCCAACACCUUAACAAGUUUUGAAGAAAUGAUGGUGUUCCUCAUGCGCCUGAGACUACGGAUUUGUAUGCAAGGGCUCUCUUUACAUUCCACCAUUCAACAGGGGAAAGCGUCCAUUGAGUGCCAAUGAAGUUGAGCACAUGAAACAGCUUGCAAACGUCCGGACCCAUGCUGAAAGAGUGAUCGGACUGGUUAGGAACAAGUACGUGAUUUUGAAACGUUGUCGAUCGGUUCAGCUAUUGAGGGCAUCUAAGGAUGGUAAAUCACUGAUCGACAAAAUUGCUGUCUUGUGCUGUGCUCUAACGAAUCUCUGUAACUCAGUCGUGCCUAGAGAUUAAUCUGGACAUUGUUGCUCGUACUCUCAAAUCUUGCUAGCUGGACACACAGUUUGCAACUGUUUUGCUUGGAAAUAAUUAUGCGGUGAUGAAUACAACAGGAGCGUACUGAGUAAAGCUGUUGAAUUCGACAUGCCCACGUAAGUGGGAAAUGCUGCGUCAGCCUUUUGGGCUUGAGGAGAAAGUGAAUGUCCAAAUUGCACAGUUACUUCCUUUUUUAGACAACAUCACCAACGUCUGACCAUGUCAUCAUUCGGUAGUGACGGUCACACAGACCAUUUGAAAAUAGGGUGGCUGGUCGUAACAUAAUUAGCUGGCAGCUAACAUUCAGGUUUAACUCUAGAAUGGUAUGGAUCGAUAACCCUAGCCGGUGCCACAUUGAAAAUGUGGAAUUUGCAAUAUAGAAAAGAGUGGAAAGUUGAAGUGGAAAUUCUGGUGUCGGCACCUUUUUCCCGAGUGGUUAGAGUGAGCGCUAUUCUUAUUUUGACGUUAACAGACUUGUCUUGUAACGAUAUGCUGUCUUGAAUGAAAACAACUCUAUGUGUGAUGAAAUGGUUUUUAUGAUUUGGCACCAAUAAAGUCUGCAUUACCAACA
This is a long non-coding RNA of Ornithodoros turicata, 1811 nucleotides long. RefSeq lists it as uncharacterized. NCBI's taxonomy places the organism in Eukaryota, Metazoa, Arthropoda, Arachnida, Ixodida, Argasidae. The transcript has 2 exons. The record is from RefSeq and is a predicted model, not a curated record.